GGUCCCAUCGUCUAGCGGUCUAGGACAUCACCCUUUCAAGGUGAGGACACGGGUUCGAGUCCCGUUGGGAUCAUCA
Molecule: transfer RNA, 76 nt
Filed under: Chloroflexota bacterium
Lineage: Bacteria; Bacillati; Chloroflexota
Description: Chloroflexi bacterium tRNA-Glu
Rfam family: tRNA
About the family: Transfer RNA (tRNA) molecules are approximately 80 nucleotides in length. Their secondary structure includes four short double-helical elements and three loops (D, anti-codon, and T loops).
Source: RNAcentral